RNAcentral lists this ribosomal RNA (468 nucleotides) under uncultured bacterium. RNAcentral describes it as "partial 16S ribosomal RNA". It matches the Rfam family "Bacterial small subunit ribosomal RNA", at positions 28 to 507 of the family's 1533-position model. The record is from RNAcentral.
GACGAACGCUGGCGGCGUGCUUAACACAUGCAAGUCGAACGGAAAGGCCCUGCUUUUGUGGGGUGCUCGAGUGGCGAACGGGUGAGUAACACGUGAGUAACCUGCCCUUGACUUUGGGAUAACUUCAGGAAACUGGGGCUAAUACCGGAUAGGAGCUCCUGCUGCAUGGUGGGGGUUGGAAAGUUUCGGCGGUUGGGGAUGGACUCGCGGCUUAUCAGCUUGUUGGUGGGGUAGUGGCUUACCAAGGCUUUGACGGGUAGCCGGCCUGAGAGGGUGACCGGCCACAUUGGGACUGAGAGACGGCCCAGACUCCUACGGGAGGCAGCAGUGGGGAAUAUUGCACAAUGGGCGGAAGCCUGAUGCAGUAACGCCGCGUGCGGGAUGACGGCCUUCGGGUUGUAAACCGCUUUCGCCUGUGACGAAGCGUGAGUGACGGUAAUGGGUAAAGAAGCACCGGCUAACUACGUG